RNAcentral lists this ribosomal RNA (2615 nucleotides) under Escherichia coli. RNAcentral describes it as "partial 23S ribosomal RNA". It matches the Rfam family "Bacterial large subunit ribosomal RNA". Lineage: Bacteria; Pseudomonadati; Pseudomonadota; Gammaproteobacteria; Enterobacterales; Enterobacteriaceae. The record is from RNAcentral.
GGUUAAGCGACUAAGCGUACACGGUGGAUGCCCUGGCAGUCAGAGGCGAUGAAGGACGUGCUAAUCUGCGAUAAGCGUCGGUAAGGUGAUAUGAACCGUUAUAACCGGCGAUUUCCGAAUGGGGAAACCCAGUGUGAUUCGUCACACUAUCAUUAACUGAAUCCAUAGGUUAAUGAGGCGAACCGGGGGAACUGAAACAUCUAAGUACCCCGAGGAAAAGAAAUCAACCGAGAUUCCCCCAGUAGCGGCGAGCGAACGGGGAGCAGCCCAGAGCCUGAAUCAGUGUGUGUGUUAGUGGAAGCGUCUGGAAAGGCGCGCGAUACAGGGUGACAGCCCCGUACACAAAAAUGCACAUACUGUGAGCUCGAUGAGUAGGGCGGGACACGUGGUAUCCUGUCUGAAUAUGGGGGGACCAUCCUCCAAGGCUAAAUACUCCUGACUGACCGAUAGUGAACCAGUACCGUGAGGGAAAGGCGAAAAGAACCCCGGCGAGGGGAGUGAAAAAGAACCUGAAACCGUGUACGUACAAGCAGUGGGAGCCUCUUUAUGGGGUGACUGCGUACCUUUUGUAUAAUGGGUCAGCGACUUAUAUUCUGUAGCAAGGUUAACCGAAUAGGGGAGCCGAAGGGAAACCGAGUCUUAACUGGGCGUUAAGUUGCAGGGUAUAGACCCGAAACCCGGUGAUCUAGCCAUGGGCAGGUUGAAGGUUGGGUAACACUAACUGGAGGACCGAACCGACUAAUGUUGAAAAAUUAGCGGAUGACUUGUGGCUGGGGGUGAAAGGCCAAUCAAACCGGGAGAUAGCUGGUUCUCCCCGAAAGCUAUUUAGGUAGCGCCUCGUGAAUUCAUCUCCGGGGGUAGAGCACUGUUUCGGCAAGGGGGUCAUCCCGACUUACCAACCCGAUGCAAACUGCGAAUACCGGAGAAUGUUAUCACGGGAGACACACGGCGGGUGCUAACGUCCGUCGUGAAGAGGGAAACAACCCAGACCGCCAGCUAAGGUCCCAAAGUCAUGGUUAAGUGGGAAACGAUGUGGGAAGGCCCAGACAGCCAGGAUGUUGGCUUAGAAGCAGCCAUCAUUUAAAGAAAGCGUAAUAGCUCACUGGUCGAGUCGGCCUGCGCGGAAGAUGUAACGGGGCUAAACCAUGCACCGAAGCUGCGGCAGCGACGCUUAUGCGUUGUUGGGUAGGGGAGCGUUCUGUAAGCCUGUGAAGGUGUACUGUGAGGUAUGCUGGAGGUAUCAGAAGUGCGAAUGCUGACAUAAGUAACGAUAAAGCGGGUGAAAAGCCCGCUCGCCGGAAGACCAAGGGUUCCUGUCCAACGUUAAUCGGGGCAGGGUGAGUCGACCCCUAAGGCGAGGCCGAAAGGCGUAGUCGAUGGGAAACAGGUUAAUAUUCCUGUACUUGGUGUUACUGCGAAGGGGGGACGGAGAAGGCUAUGUUGGCCGGGCGACGGUUGUCCCGGUUUAAGCGUGUAGGCUGGUUUUCCAGGCAAAUCCGGAAAAUCAAGGCUGAGGCGUGAUGACGAGGCACUACGGUGCUGAAGCAACAAAUGCCCUGCUUCCAGGAAAAGCCUCUAAGCAUCAGGUAACAUCAAAUCGUACCCCAAACCGACACAGGUGGUCAGGUAGAGAAUACCAAGGCGCUUGAGAGAACUCGGGUGAAGGAACUAGGCAAAAUGGUGCCGUAACUUCGGGAGAAGGCACGCUGAUAUGUAGGUGAAGCGACUUGCUCGUGGAGCUGAAAUCAGUCGAAGAUACCAGCUGGCUGCAACUGUUUAUUAAAAACACAGCACUGUGCAAACACGAAAGUGGACGUAUACGGUGUGACGCCUGCCCGGUGCCGGAAGGUUAAUUGAUGGGGUUAGCGGUAACGCGAAGCUCUUGAUCGAAGCCCCGGUAAACGGCGGCCGUAACUAUAACGGUCCUAAGGUAGCGAAAUUCCUUGUCGGGUAAGUUCCGACCUGCACGAAUGGCGUAAUGAUGGCCAGGCUGUCUCCACCCGAGACUCAGUGAAAUUGAACUCGCUGUGAAGAUGCAGUGUACCCGCGGCAAGACGGAAAGACCCCGUGAACCUUUACUAUAGCUUGACACUGAACAUUGAGCCUUGAUGUGUAGGAUAGGUGGGAGGCUUUGAAGUGUGGACGCCAGUCUGCAUGGAGCCGACCUUGAAAUACCACCCUUUAAUGUUUGAUGUUCUAACGUAGGCCCCUUAUCGGGGUUGCGGACAGUGUCUGGUGGGUAGUUUGACUGGGGCGGUCUCCUCCUAAAGAGUAACGGAGGAGCACGAAGGUUGGCUAAUCCUGGUCGGACAUCAGGAGGUUAGUGCAAUGGCAUAAGCCAGCUUGACUGCGAGCGUGACGGCGCGAGCAGGUGCGAAAGCAGGUCAUAGUGAUCCGGUGGUUCUGAAUGGAAGGGCCAUCGCUCAACGGAUAAAAGGUACUCCGGGGAUAACAGGCUGAUACCGCCCAAGAGUUCAUAUCGACGGCGGUGUUUGGCACCUCGAUGUCGGCUCAUCACAUCCUGGGGCUGAAGUAGGUCCCAAGGGUAUGGCUGUUCGCCAUUUAAAGUGGUACGCGAGCUGGGUUUAGAACGUCGUGAGACAGUUCGGUCCCUA